UGGGGAAUAUUGCACAAUGGGCGCAAGCCUGAUGCAGCCAUGCCGCGUGUAUGAAGAAGGCCUUCGGGUUGUAAAGUACUUUCAGCGGGGAGGAAGGCGAUAAGGUUAAUAACCUUGUCGAUUGACGUUACCCGCAGAAGAAGCACCGGCUAACUCCGUGCCAGCAGCCGCGGUAAUACGGAGGGUGCAAGCGUUAAUCGGAAUUACUGGGCGUAAAGCGCACGCAGGCGGUCUGUCAAGUCGGAUGUGGGAAAUCCCCGGGCUCAACCUGGGAACUGCAUUCGAAACUGGCAGGCUGGAGUCUUGUAGAGGGGGGUAGAAUUCCAGGUGUAGCGGUGAAAUGCGUAGAGAUCUGGAGGAAUACCGGUGGCGAAGGCGGCCCCCUGGACAAAGACUGACGCUCAGGUGCGAAAGCGUGGGGGAGCAAACA
Molecule: ribosomal RNA, 430 nt
Filed under: uncultured Enterobacteriaceae bacterium
Lineage: Bacteria; Pseudomonadati; Pseudomonadota; Gammaproteobacteria; Enterobacterales; Enterobacteriaceae
Description: bacterial SSU rRNA
Rfam family: Bacterial small subunit ribosomal RNA
Source: RNAcentral